UUGUGCCUGACAACCUCACCAUCAUACAAGGUUCAAUAUGAGAGGAAUAUUGGAGAGAAAAGAACGGCAGGAUAAAUUUUUUUUGAAUCGAAUAUAUAAUAUACAAUGAAAGAUAGGAUAUGGUUUACUAGCUAGAUGGAGGGGUAUCUGAACAUUAUAAUGAUGGAUUGGUUGAUAUAGUUGAUAAGCUUUACAUAAUAGAUACAAACAUAAUAUGAGAAUCUAUAUGGAUGAAUAUUUAAUUUCAUGUCAUUAUUUAUUGAAAAGAUAUUGGAUACUUAUAUAAGAUCAAGAUAUGUAAAUAAUACCUUUUCAUUAAUCUUUUUGAAUGAG
RNAcentral lists this long non-coding RNA (333 nucleotides) under Elaeis guineensis (African oil palm). RNAcentral describes it as "long non-coding RNA (EGUI_LNC015274)". Lineage: Eukaryota; Viridiplantae; Streptophyta; Magnoliopsida; Arecales; Arecaceae. The record is from RNAcentral.